UCCAAGGCCUUUUUGAAGGCCACACAUUUUGAGCCGCUUAUGACAU
Molecule: non-coding RNA, 46 nt
Organism: Echinostoma caproni
Lineage: Eukaryota; Metazoa; Platyhelminthes; Trematoda; Plagiorchiida; Echinostomatidae
Source: Rfam